Molecule: ribosomal RNA, 315 nt
Filed under: uncultured Oscillospiraceae bacterium
Lineage: Bacteria; Bacillati; Bacillota; Clostridia; Eubacteriales; Oscillospiraceae
Description: bacterial SSU rRNA
Rfam family: Bacterial small subunit ribosomal RNA
Source: RNAcentral
UGGGGAAUAUUGGGCAAUGGGCGAAAGCCUGACCCAGCAACGCCGCGUGAAGGAAGAAGGCCUUCGGGUUGUAAACUUCUUUUACCAGGGACGAAGGAUGUGACGGUACCUGGAGAAAAAGACAACGGCUAACUACGUGCCAGCAGCCGCGGUAAUACGUAGGUUGCAAGCGUUGUCCGGAUUUACUGGGUGUAAAGGGCGUGUAGGCGGAGAUGCAAGUUGGGAGUGAAAACCAUGGGCUCAACCCAUGAACUGCUUUCAAAACUGUAUCCCUUGAGUAUCGGAGAGGCAAGCGGAAUUCCUAGUGUAGCGGUG